Molecule: long non-coding RNA, 450 nt
Organism: Solanum stenotomum
Lineage: Eukaryota; Viridiplantae; Streptophyta; Magnoliopsida; Solanales; Solanaceae
Exons: 3
Source: RefSeq, a predicted model, not a curated record
CAGGCAUUUUCCUCUGGAUAUGUCGUUGUCAAUCUCGAAGGUUGAAUCCAUAAAAGAUUGAUUCUCCGAGCCACAUGUACCCAAACAGUUCCCAGGGCUUGCUGAUUGGUCGGUAUCAUGAGUUGGUAAUAUUGCUCCAAAGGAUUUUGUAACCCACUCCUUUGAAGUCAUGUUCCCGUCAUCUUUAUCUUUUUGAUUAGCUUCUACAUCAAUUGUCUUUUCGACUUUACCAUUUGUUACCAUUGCUUGUAUCUCCUCUUCUUGAUUAAGUGCUUGAAAUUUGUUCGCCACAUUAAUAGGGAGUGUGCUGUCCCUAUUGACUAGUUUGCGGUUGUCUCGCACAACAUUCCACUUCCCUGGAUCCCCCACUAUUUUGCCACUGGAAAGGACCCUAUCUUUUCCUUUCUGAAAUGUAUGCACCUGUUGCUUCUGCGUUUCUUGCGAAUGGUC